UCAUCGUCAUCCGCAUCCUCAUCCUCAUCCUCAUCCUCAUCCUCAUCCUCAUGAGGAUGAGGAGGAGCAUAGGAUGAGGAUGAGGGUGAUGAGGAUGAUGAGGA
Molecule: microRNA precursor, 104 nt
Filed under: Lupinus angustifolius (narrow-leaved blue lupine)
Lineage: Eukaryota; Viridiplantae; Streptophyta; Magnoliopsida; Fabales; Fabaceae
Description: pre miRNA MIR1446
Source: RNAcentral